UACGACUACAUAUCAGGCAUAUCAAUAAGCGGAGGAAAAGAAACUAACUAGGAUUCCCUCAGUAACGGCGAGUGAAGCGGGAAGAGCUCAAAUUUGAAAUCUUCAAGGUUUUACCUUGACGAAUUGUAGUUUAAAGAAGGUGUUUUCUGUUGGUGUUUUGGUAAAAGUUCUUUGGAAUAGGACAUCAUAGAGGGUGAGAAUCCCGUAUUUGACCAUUACUUUCAGCGUUGUGAUACACUUUCAAAGAGUCGGAUUGUUUGGGAAUGCAGUCCAAAAUGGGUGGUAAAUUUCAUCUAAAGCUAAAUAUUGGCGAGAGACCGAUAGCGAACAAGUACCGUGAGGGAAAGAUGAAAAGAACUUUGAAAAGAGAGUUGAAACAGUACGUGAAAUUGUCAAAAGGGAAGCGUUUGACACCAGUGUUGUUUUCUCGAAAAUCAAUUAAAAAGUAUGGGAUUUUGUAUUGUUAAGACCUUAUCAGCUUACGGUACUUUUUUCUUAUUCUUUUUAAUGCACUUUUCGUUUAACAAGUCAACAUCAAUUUCUUUUGUUGUGAAAGAGUCAUUGGAAGGUGGCUUUCACUUCGGUGAAAGUGUUUAUAGCCUUUGGCUUCUGCAAUCGGAGAGAUUGAGGUCUGCAGCGUAGAUCCUUCGGGGUUAGAUACGUAGAUGCUAAGUUAUAGUUUUUCAUAGACAACUUGUUGACUAUGAUUAAUCAUGUAGCUUACUCGUUAGCGCUAUUUUACCUACGCUUAGGAUGUUGACGCGCGUGUGUGCGUG
Molecule: ribosomal RNA, 776 nt
Filed under: uncultured Neocallimastigales
Lineage: Eukaryota; Fungi; Neocallimastigomycota; Neocallimastigomycetes; Neocallimastigales
Description: partial large subunit ribosomal RNA
Rfam family: Eukaryotic large subunit ribosomal RNA
Source: RNAcentral